This is a long non-coding RNA of Rhipicephalus microplus (southern cattle tick), 553 nucleotides long. Lineage: Eukaryota; Metazoa; Arthropoda; Arachnida; Ixodida; Ixodidae. The record is from RefSeq and is a predicted model, not a curated record.
ACAGCUGUGUGCAUAUGUUACCUCUUUUACAAAACUUUCAAGGUUCUGGUUGUGAACUGACUCGUUAUUUUCUCCUAUAAACUCCAAUCGGCCUUUUUGUGCUGAUCACGUAUACAUGUAAAAACAUGGGAAGGACAUUUGGCAGCAGGAAGAAACAUUACGCGAAGUCAUGACGCUGCUCAGUACAAAAACGGGAUUCCUGCAUUGGUAGUUCGAUUGGAUUUCCUAUGUUGGCAAGUGCAGUACGGCCGGAGCUGAAGAGACAAAUUGCUGUCACCAAUGACAGCACCGUGUACAAGCGUGGGUACGCAAAUACUCAGGCAAUGUGUCAUCGUACAACUCGGAAGCAUUCUUUACAAGGAACUGGCGAGAAGUCUAAAACAAAGCGAAGUCUUUCUCCUUCUGGAAGCCCCGGAAGAAAAAGCAUGAGGCUUUAAAAAAUUUUCUAUGCAGUGUAUCGGAAGACUUCACAAUAAAGGUACUGGACGUAGCCCGAGUUAACGCGUAAAGUUCAAGACGUUCAAGUUAUAUCCGACACAAAGUCCCUUCACUG